RNAcentral lists this ribosomal RNA (425 nucleotides) under uncultured bacterium. RNAcentral's name for it is "bacterial SSU rRNA". It matches the Rfam family "Bacterial small subunit ribosomal RNA", at positions 958 to 1393 of the family's 1533-position model. The record is from RNAcentral.
AACGCGAAGAACCUACCCUUGACAUGGAUGGAAUCCCGAAGAGAUUUGGGAGUGCUCGAAAGAGAACCAUCACACAGGUGCUGCAUGGCUGUCGUCAGCUCGUGUCGUGAGAUGUUGGGUUAAGUCCCGCAACGAGCGCAACCCUUGUCAUUAGUUGCUACGAAAGGGCACUCUAAUGAGACUGCCGGUGACAAACCGGAGGAAGGUGGGGAUGACGUCAAGUCCUCAUGGCCCUUAUGGGUAGGGCUUCACACGUCAUACAAUGGUACAUACAGAGGGCCGCCAACCCGCGAGGGGGAGCUAAUCCCAGAAAGUGUAUCGUAGUCCGGAUUGGAGUCUACAACUCGACUCCAUGAAGUUGGAAUCGCUAGUAAUCGCGGAUCAGCAUGUCGCGGUGAAUACGUUCCCGGGUCUUGUACACACGC